Long non-coding RNA from Anolis carolinensis (green anole), 978 nucleotides. RefSeq lists it as uncharacterized. The transcript is spliced from 4 exons. The record is from RefSeq and is a predicted model, not a curated record. NCBI's taxonomy places the organism in Eukaryota, Metazoa, Chordata, Lepidosauria, Squamata, Anolidae.
UUGGAAGAAUGAAAAACGAUUCACUACCUAUAAAAAGGGAAAAUAUAUAUGUCGUUCUUUAAUUUGAAAGGAAGACAAAACAUCUCCAUAGCCCUUGCUCCCCUUGGAAACUUGAAGAAGCACAACUCAUCUGGCAUUGAAGAAUCAACUCAAAUCUUCUCAAGCCAACAACUGGGCAUUGUCCCUAGGAAACAGGAUUGCAGACCAAACAUCCAAGUCUGACUUGUUAAAGCUAUGAAUAGCUGUUGCCUUUUCUUGCUGGUCCUUUCCUUGCUUCUCCUUCCUGAUUAUGGUUUUGCUGGAACUACCAGCAUAAAGGAUCCAGGAACAUGCCAACACCUUGGUGGCAUUUGCAGAAAAACAAGGUGUCCUGAGUCGUAUUCAGUAAUUGGGCGCUGUACUCCAAAACAAGCCUGCUGCAAAAAGACUUGAAGAAUGACCACAUGCUGCAUCAAUUCCAGGUUUACAGAUGAUCAAUGGAUUUUGGUAUUUUCACUGAAAAAUCACAAAAUAAUUCCACCAUGAAUCCUGGGGGAAGCUUCCACCAAAGAAAAUAAAAGUGUCCUUGCAAAUAAUUAAUUCCUGUGACUUUCUGUGCUCACCUUUCCCUGUCUUCCUAUCUUGAGAUACUUUUAGAUGUCACAGGCAAAUGUGACAAUAGAAGUCAAAUUAUGUGCCUUGACAUUGUUCUUGAAAAAUCAAGCUCACAUAUAAGUUGAUAAAAUGCUCACUCUACCAUCAUAUUUUCCCUGGUUAGAACCAAAUUCAGAGGUGAAAAAUGCAGAAUCUCAAACUAUGUCACAUUAAACACAUAUUUCAUAUUGAUGGAGACAUCUCAUUUGUACUGCAUUUCAGCUGCAAGAGAUAGAAUGCCGGCCUGAAAAAUGCUUCUCCUGAGUUCAAGAACUUCAAUGAAAUCUUUUCUUUGAAAGCUUCAGAUAUUUUUAUCUUAAUAAAAAUGAUGAUGUGACACCUUUA